Molecule: ribosomal RNA, 933 nt
Filed under: uncultured Bacillota bacterium
Lineage: Bacteria; Bacillati; Bacillota
Description: bacterial SSU rRNA
Rfam family: Bacterial small subunit ribosomal RNA
Source: RNAcentral
CAUGGCUCAGGAUGAACGCUGGCGGCGUGCCUAAUACAUGCAAGUCGAACGAAACUUCUUUAUCACCGAGUGCUUGCACUCACCGAUAAAGAGUUGAGUGGCGAACGGGUGAGUAACACGUGGGCAACCUGCCCAAAAGAGGGGGAUAACACUUGGAAACAGGUGCUAAUACCGCAUAACCAUAGUUACCGCAUGGCAACUAUGUAAAAGGUGGCUAUGCUACCGCUUUUGGAUGGGCCCGCGGCGCAUUAGCUAGUUGGUGGGGUAAAGGCUUACCAAGGCAAUGAUGCGUAGCCGAACUGAGAGGUUGAUCGGCCACAUUGGGACUGAGACACGGCCCAAACUCCUACGGGAGGCAGCAGUAGGGAAUCUUCCACAAUGGGCGAAAGCCUGAUGGAGCAACGCCGCGUGGGUGAAGAAGGUCUUCGGAUCGUAAAACCCUGUUGUUAGUGAAGAAAGUGCGUGAGAGUAACUGUUCACGUUUCGGCGGUAUCUAACCAGAAAGCCACGGCCAACUACGUGCCAGCAGCCGCGGUAGUACGUAGGUGGCAAGCGUUAUCCGGAUUUAUUGGGCGUAAAGGGAACGCAGGCGGUCUUUUAAGUCUGAUGUGAAGGCCUUCGGCUUAACCGGAGUAGUGCAUUGGAAACUGGGAGACUUGAGUGCAGAAGAGGAGAGUGGAACUCCAUGUGUAGCGGUGAAAUGCGUAGAUAUAUGGAAGAACACCAGUGGCGAAAGCGGCUCUCUGGUCUGUAACUGACGCUGAGGUUCGAAAGCGUGGGUAGCAAACGGGAUUAGAUACCCUGGUAGUCCACGCCGUAAACGAUGAAUGCUAAGUGUUGGAGGGUUUCCGCCCUUCAGUGCUGCAGCUAACGCAAUAAGCAUUCCGCCUGGGGAGUACGACCGCAAGGUUGCAACUCAAAUGAAUUGACGGA